GGAUGGGUGGCUGAGUGGUUUAAGGCGCACGCCUGGAAAGUGUGUGUACGUGAAAGCGUACCGUGGGUUCGAAUCCCACCCCAUCCG
Molecule: transfer RNA, 87 nt
Filed under: Gemmatimonadaceae bacterium
Lineage: Bacteria; Pseudomonadati; Gemmatimonadota; Gemmatimonadia; Gemmatimonadales; Gemmatimonadaceae
Also listed under: 1 other name
Description: tRNA-Ser
Rfam family: tRNA
About the family: Transfer RNA (tRNA) molecules are approximately 80 nucleotides in length. Their secondary structure includes four short double-helical elements and three loops (D, anti-codon, and T loops).
Source: RNAcentral